Molecule: long non-coding RNA, 1973 nt
Organism: Rhineura floridana
Lineage: Eukaryota; Metazoa; Chordata; Lepidosauria; Squamata; Rhineuridae
Exons: 2
Source: RefSeq, a predicted model, not a curated record
CUCUGCAUCAGUCAUCAUCACGAUUCUGCUGAACUCUUCCACAGGAGUCUCUGCCUCUUACCUGGAUCCACGCAGACCAUUGAGCACAUCAUGUUACAGCACUUCUUGGCACCAGGGCAAGUAUUAUCACCUUUACAGAGUUUUUGGCAAGGCGGUUUAAUCACUGCAGGAGAGGGAGGGCACCUUCCAGGCUUAUCUGCAACACAGAGCAAUGUUAUAGCUUAGGCCUCAUUUGCACUAUAUUAUUUAUUAUUAUUAUUUAUUAUACUUGUAUACCGCCCCAUAGCCGAAGCUCUCUGGGCGGUCUACAUUAGAGCUCCCUGGUUUGCUGGGGAAGAUGGCAACACCAAGAAGAGCCAGGAAGCAGGGGGUCCAGUCUGGAGCCCCGAAAACAUUCCCAGGCAGGCCAACCCUCCACCACACAGAGACGUCUGUGUUCCUCUGAAGAGGCUGAACGCCACAUCCAGAAGGAUUUGGGGUGUGGGAUGAAAGGCAGCCCAGUUGGAGCUGCACACAAAGCAGCAGCAGCAGAACAGACACACCCAGAGAGUCCUGCCUAUGCAGGGAGGGAGGAAGGAUCCAUCUUUGAGGCAGGGUGCAAGAGGGAUGACGUACCUUUGGCAGAGACAGAGGGCACUAUGGCAGAGAGAGCGAGGAGCCCCACGAGGAGGAAGACCAGACCAGCAGACUUCAUGGUUAGGCAGGAUGGAAGUGCUCUCCAGACUCUAGCCGGGUGCUUUAUAGUACUCCAUCCGGGCAGGAGCCCCACCCAGACUAAAGAUGAAAACAAUAGGAAAAGGAGGGGUUGGCAAGAUGUCCCUGCAGUGCGUAAGAAACUAUGAGGAACAUGUGAAGGUGUAGGCUCCUUUGCAAGGCAUAAUCAAAGUGGCCAUUUCACAAUACGUUCCCAGUUUCCAAAUCAACACAAGGAAGCAUCUCAGCGGUCAGUGCUCCUUUGGAAAAACAAGAGGCACCACCCCUGCAGGGGAAGACACUGAGGGAAUGGGAAAGUGCUGUUGUGUCCUGCAUGUGAGCUUCCCUGAGGCAAUGUGGACGAGAAGGGCCUUUGGCCUGACCCAGCAGGGAGCUCUUGUUAUGCUCUCUUCUUGGUGGAAUUAGGUAGACAGGGGGGAGAAAGGUUGCAUAAAAAUGAAUAUGUCAGUGGAAAUAACAGACAAAAUGCAUUAUAUUAGGGGAAAUUGCUUGCAAAAAUGUGUACAUUAGUCAGAACUGUAUAAAGAUUGUGUUUUAUUAGGAGAAAUUCGCGUUAAAAUGCUGAAGAAUUUUCAUGAGGAUUUUUUUUUUUAAAGUCGCAAAUUGCUGCAGAAAUAGGGAGAAUCAGAUUUAAGAUUGGAACAAUGAGAAAUUGAGAGAACUGAAAUGGACAGAUCCUUCCAUCCCAACAGCAGGCCACUUCACGGUGCAGUCUCCCACCACCUGCCAUGCUCAACGCCUUCUGCAUGCUGGCACGAGGUGUUCCCCAAAGGACUCUUAACUAGGUGAACUGGGGGAUUAACAAAGUCCUUCGGAGACCAUCCUUCAGAAGCACCAGAGCACUGCCACUUCAAGACUUCUUCACCAGGUGGGAUUGUGAUGCUGUGACCACCACCCCAAUUUCUUCUCAACCCCAUUGAGGGUCUCUGUUUUGGUUAAUGACUGUGCAAGGUAUUGAUAAUCAGGGCCGGCCCCAGACAUGCCGGGGCCCUUGGGCACCAGCUUGCCCUGGACCCUGGCAUGCAUGUGCGCAUGCACACAUACAUGUGUGCGCGUGCCCAGGGCCAGCCCCAGACAUGCUGGAGCCCUUGGGCAAAAGUCUGCCCCAGACCCCAGUGCUCCCCUUCCGCGACUCAUGCACAGAGAGAGCUUUCUGCAAAAGUGGCUGCCUUUUCCUAGGGAAGGAGAAAAAGAAAAAUACCAUAAAGUUCUCUGUUAUAAAUAAAUAAAUGCCAUGUGGCACCCCCAUUUCUUUUAAA